Carassius gibelio (silver crucian carp) is the source of this 1964-nucleotide long non-coding RNA. RefSeq lists it as uncharacterized. NCBI's taxonomy places the organism in Eukaryota, Metazoa, Chordata, Actinopteri, Cypriniformes, Cyprinidae. The transcript has 2 exons. The record is from RefSeq and is a predicted model, not a curated record.
GGCACAUAUUCAUUCUCCAGGCACUCUGCCAAACUCUUCCAAGCACCCUACCUGCCUACUAUCUUAAGUUUCCCGAAUAAGUGAGAAAACACAAUCCAGUUGCAGCUGCAGGGCUGCAUGUUUCCUCCCUGCACUCCGAGACUGAACUCUAAAACACGGACAAGAAAACUUUGACGCAUGGGCGAAAACUCAUGGGGUGUUUAUACAGUGCAACAUGCUGAUCCAUUCCACAUCUGACGAACUACCACGAGCAACACAUCAGAGUCGUGCCUCAUCUUUCAUAGAGGAAAAGGUCAACAUUCAGUGAGAGGAAAUCAUCCUGCACAGCUGGACAACCACAGUGCUGGAUCAUCUCCGUAAGAGAAAAGAAGAGAAAGCGAGUACAAAUAUACAACUCUCAAGUGUAAGGAGUAGGAGAGAAGAUCAGUCAAACCCUGAAAAAGCCAGUCCACCUCUACAUUACUUUACUUUACUUUACUUUACAACUUCAAUGGUUAGAUUAAAAGUCUCCUACCUUAAGUAUACAGUCUUUUUUUAAUUUUUUUUCAGUGAAGGCCUAAUCCAUGCUUAAUAAAAACUAUGAGCUCACCUACAGAAUCCCCUGCACUGCCCCUAGUGCAUCACCAGCCAUCAGAACCCCCCAAUGUACUCACAAGGGUGGUAGAUGUUCUUAAACAUCACAAGCCACUUUCUCUGUUUCAAGCUGACCUUGGAAUGGCCGUUAGACGUGGCUUUGAACUACUGGAACUAUCUCUCAUAGACCAGUGUCAAGGGUCCCCCUGAGUUGAUAAUGACUUGCUUUCAUAACUGCUGUGACAUUUUGUGAAGGUAUGCUAGGCGUGCUCACAGGCCAUAUCUCCAGAAUGCAAUGCUUCCUUUCCCCCUCAGCAGGUGCGAAUCUGAGCUGCAUAGUCUGCGAUUUACAGUGCUGUGUUUACGCAUCCCGGAAUAAGUAUAGGCCCAGGCCCACGCAUAUGUCCAGCCUUGAUAAGCAUUUCAGCUCACUACAGUGUUGACACAAACUCAGAAUUACCACAAAAGAUUAGUGAUUGGACAGUGGUGACAUUUGCAUUAAAAUCACUGCCAGUUCCUUAAUGAAGCUAACUACCAUAUGCCAUUAUUGUUAUCUCCCUUGGAUCAGUUGCUUCUGUUUAUAUUAUUAUUAUUAUUAUUAUUUUGAAAUCAUAAAAGUGCCUGGUAAAUUAAUAAAUGUAUUGCAACGAAUAAUGGAAAUUAAAUUGAAAAAAAAUAAAUAAUAAUAAUAAUAAAAAGCUAUAAAAUCCACUAGAACUAUGUACUUUGACAGGAUUUAAAGAGUCUAAUAAAACAGAUUUUUAGAAGUCUUUUCAGACCAAUUCUGCUCCUGGUGGUUCAAAUACCAUCGCUCCAUCUCAGAGAAAGCUCACAGCACUGUCAGGUCAUCGUAUAUGUCUUAUUGUUAAAAUCUGAAUCUUGUUGGCUGCUGAAUGUCCAGUUCCUGUGGAUGGAAAAAGAGAUAAAUGAACUCACUCGCUGUACCCUUACAUAAAUGAGGGUUGAUGAAACUGAUGAUAGGCUCAGGCUGCUGAAGAAGUGAUCCCAGUGGAGACCUUACAGUGGUCUGUCCCACUCACAAGACAAAUUAUAUAAUUAGGCGCUUGUCUUAGGGGAUGGCCACCUUUGCCCCUUUCUUGACAUCUCCAAUGGUAAAUGACAGCAUAUCUUGCUAAAAUAACUGAGCAAAUUCAUCUUGGUGACACACGCAGAAUUCUCUUUACAGUUGUAUUAAUUGUCUGGUUUUGAGAAAUCCCAUGGAAAUGACAAUAUGGGCUCAAGGGAAACAUUGCAUUUGAUUAUAAAGAUGAUCAUGAUUCUUAACGCUGAGAGAUCUGCAUGAAUCAAAAGCAAAUCAUUUAAACAGUACAGCAAUUUGCAUUAGUAAUAUUCAAAGAAUCUAUGAAUAAAAUGUGUAUACUAUGCUUGAA